UCCCUGAAAGCCCAGUUGGUAGAGAAUCCGCCUGUAAUGCGGGAGACCCUGGUUCAAUCCCUGGAUUGGGAA
This 72-nucleotide transfer RNA is filed under the name Ovis aries (sheep). It matches the Rfam family "tRNA". Rfam says of the family: Transfer RNA (tRNA) molecules are approximately 80 nucleotides in length. Their secondary structure includes four short double-helical elements and three loops (D, anti-codon, and T loops). Further hydrogen bonds mediate the characteristic L-shaped molecular structure. tRNAs have two regions of fundamental functional importance: the anti-codon, which is responsible for specific mRNA codon recognition, and the 3' end, to which the tRNAs corresponding amino acid is attached (by aminoacyl-tRNA synthetases). tRNAs cope with the degeneracy of the genetic code in two manners: having more than one tRNA (with a specific anti-codon) for a particular amino acid; and 'wobble' base-pairing, i.e. permitting non-standard base-pairing at the 3rd anti-codon position. The record is from Rfam by way of RNAcentral. Lineage: Eukaryota; Metazoa; Chordata; Mammalia; Artiodactyla; Bovidae.